RNAcentral lists this ribosomal RNA (397 nucleotides) under Schyzocotyle acheilognathi. Its description in RNAcentral is "SSU rRNA". It matches the Rfam family "Eukaryotic small subunit ribosomal RNA", at positions 609 to 867 of the family's 1831-position model. The record is from RNAcentral. Lineage: Eukaryota; Metazoa; Platyhelminthes; Cestoda; Bothriocephalidea; Bothriocephalidae.
GUUGCUGCAGUUAAAAAGCUCGUAGUUGGAUCUCGGUAUUAUUGUUGCCUGCUGGCUUUAGAGGCACUAGCUGGCCUAGCGGUGCAUGGGUGAGCCUGUGCAGCGUGGGGUCGGCGGCCUUGGGUCGGCGUGGCGGCGGUGAUACCUUUCAGCCAUGUCUGUGGUGCAAUAUCCACAGGUGUAGGCGAGUGCCAGGCGGUGCCCUGCAACUGUGGGGUUCGUCGGCUUGUCUGCAUGCCUACGGAUGCCCUUUAAAAGGUGUCUGUGGGCGGAUGGCACGUUUACUUUGAACAAAUUUGAGUGCUCAAACCAGGCCGAUGCUGCCUGAAAAGUUUUGCAUGGAAUAAUGGAAUAGGACUUCGGUUCUAUUUCGUUGGUUUUCGGAUCCGAAGUAAUG